RNAcentral lists this non-coding RNA (30 nucleotides) under Mus musculus (house mouse). The record is from RNAcentral. Lineage: Eukaryota; Metazoa; Chordata; Mammalia; Rodentia; Muridae.
UCCCCUAUCCUUGACCGGACCUAAGCCAAG